This 2912-nucleotide long non-coding RNA is filed under the name Podarcis lilfordi (Lilford's wall lizard). Lineage: Eukaryota; Metazoa; Chordata; Lepidosauria; Squamata; Lacertidae. The record is from RNAcentral.
UGAGGUCAGUGCAGUUAAAUCUUUAUUCAAGGAAACCCUAGCCCAAGCUUAAUGGGCUCAGCCGCUCUUUCUAGGAGGCCUUGGUCUGAUGAGGCAAAUGAAGCUGCCCAAGAAUAGUGCAAGUGGAUGCCAGUCUCAGCACAGGAUUAUCCUAGUUUAAUAGACAUUCACUUUCCUGAGAAAGUGUGGUAAUUGUAGUUCUGUGAGAGGGUUUGAGUCUUCAAGAGAAUGCUCAGCAGCCUCAGCAAACUACAGUUCGCAGGAUUUCAGGGGGUAGAAGGAGUUGUGGCAGUCAAACUGCUAUAAAAUUAUGUAAGCUUCUAUCGCAAAUAUUCCUUCCAGAGUGGAUGCUUACCCCUUCCUCCGGGUGGGUGGUUGUUGCGGAUCCCCAUGCUCGGUCACCAUCCUUGGACAGCUAGAACAGAAUGCUCAUGGCCAGGUGGCCAUUGAGGGAAUUCCCCCUGGCCGCAUGGAUAGCUGGCUCAAGUUCCCGCCAGCUGCUGCACCUCAAAUUGGCCAAUGUGUGGCCUGUUCUGGGGGGUGUGCCUCUCUGGCAGAAAGGGCAUUGGCUGCACGCACACCCAGGCAGUUGGUGAGGCAUAAAAGCUGGCUGCACCUUAAUAUGCCUUCCAGAGCUGCAGAAGAUGUCCAAGACAAGAGAGCAAGUCUCAUGGAAUUUAGGGACUUGUGCCUCACUGAAUGCACCAAAGAUUACAGUUCACAUGUGUCCCCUCUCUUCCAGCUCUAAUGGCCAGCAUGGACAUUUCUUUGACUGGAUCACACUCUUCACUCCACUAACACUUCGUGGAAGGUCCCAGGCUUGGUAGUUUAGGUGCCUGGAGGCAAAGGGCAGCUGGCCAGAGCUUUAGAUGUGUCAGCAGCUGCAGAAGAAUAAUCUCUGGAGGGACAGUGCUGCCAGGAAGCAUCCCUAGGUGCAACCUUCCCAAAACUCACAUGCCUUUGCCUGUGUACAUGUGUAUAAAAGUAUUUUUGGAACUGGCUGUACACUCUUAUUUGUAGUGUGAACAGUGAUGGCUUAGGCUUCCAUCGCAGUUCAUUCAUUUUCAUAUGAAAGCAGGAUGUUCCUUUGGUACGUUGCAAAACUGGAUUGAAGGGACUUGCUGGGUGGUGGGGGACUCUUUCAAAUGAUCAAAUGUUCCUGUGCAAAUAUACUGUUAUGGGAUUGUGGCUGGUCAGGUGUCUUCUCAUAAAUGUAAACAAUAAGAGUGGUAAUAUUCGGGGUCGACACAUUCAAAAUGCACUUAACUAAAUCAUGACUAUAAAGUCCAUUGCUUUCAGUGAGUCUGCUCAAAGUGUGACUCAGUCAGCUGUCUCUCUGAACGAAUAUGGGGUUGCCCCUGUAGAUGGUCCUUUGGACAUCCUCGCUUACUCCCAAAUGGGCUAAGUCCACCUUGCUAUACCUGGGAGCCCUCCUGCUCAUUCUGCUGAAAGUGGCCCUGGACCUCUUCCCUAAAGUCAUGCUCUGGUGAUACCUCCAGAUCCAUCAUUUGAUUAAGAGAUAUGAUUUUUAAAAUUUUAAAAAGCCUAGUACAUACUUGCCAAAUAUCAAUUUUUAAGGUUCGACUUAAAGCGCUUCUUUGCUCUUGAAUCUGAGUGAAACUUAAUGUAACUUGCAUGUCAGAGUGCAGAACAGAUUCCCAAGGCAAGUGGUGGAACCCUGUUGCUUGAGACUCUUAAAAGUGGAUUAGACAGCAGACUCAGAAUUGCCCUGUAGGGAACAAUCUCGCAUUGACAGUGUGAUGGAAUAGAUGACCUCAUAGUACAGCUGUGUGUGUGAGAGAAAAAUGUCUAAUAUACGAGUUUUUCUUCUCCCAUGAAGCUAUGCAGUGAUAAACCGCCAAAGAAAUAAACUUAGACAUAUAGUGUGAUCUUGGAUGGUAAAGCUUGCCUUGUAAAGUUCCACUGCAGACCUGUUCUAUUUUCAGUCUUGCAUAUUUCCAGUUACAUUCAUUGCAUUGUAGAUAUAAUAAACAGAGAUAACCUGUUCUUCAUAUGCUCCAGAAGAACACAAAGCAUCUUCAUGCUUCUGGUUACUAUAUUUCAGAUUUUACAAGCCUAUGGGAUAAGAUUUCUUCUCUGAUCUUUGCAGUCCUGAGGUUAAUCAUACAAUAAAUCAGUGUUUCCUAGACUUUUUGGUACAUGGGACACAGUCCUCCUCUGGAUUGCAACUGGAGCUUCACUCUUGCACUUAUUCCCAAUGGUCUUCUGAUUUUUCUGCUUAGGUUCUUUCCUGGGUUGAGUUCAAACAGACUUUUGUUUAGGGCCUGCUUUUGUGCAGGAGUGCAGACAGUAGGAGAUGGUACCAGCGGUGACUGGUGCCUGUUGUGACUGCUGGGGUGGAAAGCAGUGAGACCAGACGUGGGUGGAGCCACCCUCAAUGACAGAUGGAACCAUUCCCUGAUUGGCUGAAAAUAAGAAAGCCAACUGACUUUGGUGAACCUUUACAAACCAGCCUCCACUGGCUACCAGUAUGGCAGAGCCAUGGAGCUGCCGUCCUGACUCCAGCUUACCUGGAGAGGACUGCAGGGAGGUUGGGCUGCACAGGCCCACCACACACAUCCCCAACCUCACAACCGCCCUGCCCCACACCAGUCCAGGUAAGUUGCAGUGAUGUUGGUGUUGGAAAGGCAGUUCCAUGGCACUACCUCACCCCACUGGACUGCUCCUGGCUACAAGAAAGGUGCAGUCCAUUUGUGUGUGUGUGUGGACAAGCUGAGUUUGAUUCCCUGGAGAGCAAUGUGGUGCAGGGGUAGGAGUGCCACACUAGGACUAAUUUUUUUGAUAAUUAUCAUAUUUUACUCUUUUUUGCAAACCGCUUAAAGGCUUUAUUAAAACCCAUCAGUACAUGAAUGUUGUGAAAAAUAUAAGACGGUCCAGAUCAGGGAUUCCAC